GGUUUUUUGUAAAUAAUUUAAAAUUUAACCUGCUCAAUGAAUAUUUUAAAUAGCUGCAGUAUUUUGACUGUACAAAGGUAGCAUAAUCAAUAGUUUUUUAAUUAAAAGCUGGAAUGAAUGGUUUGAUAAAAUAAAAUCUUUUUUAAAUUUAAAAUUUAAAAUUUUUUUAUUAGUUAAAAAACUAAUAUAAAAUUAAAAGACGAGAAGACCCUAUAGAGUUUUAUAAAUAUUUAAUAUAAUUAAAUUUAUUUUAAUAUAAUUAUUAUAAAAAUUUAUUUAAUUGGGGUGAUUAUUAAAAGUUAAUGAACUUUAAUUUUUAAUAAACAAAUUUAAUUGAAUUUUUGAUCUUUAAUUUAAAAUUAAAAAAAUAAAUUACCUUAGGGAUAACAGUGUAAUUUUUUUAGAAAGAUCUUAUAGAUAAAAAAGAUUGC
RNAcentral lists this ribosomal RNA (431 nucleotides) under Nemeritis lativentris. RNAcentral describes it as "partial 16S ribosomal RNA". Lineage: Eukaryota; Metazoa; Arthropoda; Insecta; Hymenoptera; Ichneumonidae. The record is from RNAcentral.